This 4058-nucleotide long non-coding RNA is filed under the name Nicotiana tabacum (common tobacco). RNAcentral's name for it is "long non-coding RNA (NTAB_LNC017054)". Lineage: Eukaryota; Viridiplantae; Streptophyta; Magnoliopsida; Solanales; Solanaceae. The record is from RNAcentral.
GCCUCUCGCCUCGGCCUCAACUCGCAUUGAAUCUACCCAAAAUCAGAAUCAUAACAUUAGAAUAUGCCAAAGGGACGAAGCCCAUGCGAAAUUAAUCAAAUUAUACCAAAAAUCUCGAAAUUGGUCUAACCCGACCACCGGGCCCAUGUCUCAAAAUUCGAUAAGUCACAUCAAUGGAAUCCUUAUCCUCCCACGAGGUCAUACAUACCAAGAGUACCAAAAUCCGACCACAAAUGGCCCCUCAAAUCCCUAGAUUAAAGUCUCAAAUUUCCAAGCCCUAACUUCCUAAUUUAGGCUUCAAAUUCCCCAAAUUUCAUGUUUAAUUAGGUUAGAAAUCACAAUAGGAUCGAGUAUUAACUCCAAAAUUCUUACCUCCAAUAAGUUCUCUUUGAUUUCCUUUCAAUCCCUCUCAAAAAUCUCCAAAACCGAGUCAAAAUUGGUGGACAUAGGCCAAAACUCACGAAAAUGGUCUUUUAAACAUUCUGCCCAGCGAUCAGAAAUCCUUCUUCCCGAACGCGGUCAAAGCCUCGCGUUCACGAAGCACAAAAAUACCAUUUACCAAAAUUCUCUUACGCGAAUGCGACCACACCAUCGUGAACGAGAUGCCUCAGCAUCCCAAACCAUCGCGAAUGCGUCAGACAACUCGCGAACGCCAUGCUUCCUGUUCUGACCCUUCGUGAACGCGGGACCUCCCUCGCGAACGCAAAGGCCAAAUUUUCGGCCUCUCAUCCUAGCCCUUGGUGAACGCGAGGGCCCACUCGCGAACGCGAAGCACAAAUUUUCUACAACAGCUGAAGCCAAAACUACAACUUCCUUUAACUUGAAAUGGUCCGUUCAACCAUCCUAAACUCACCUGAGGCCCUCAGUGUCGCGCAGCCUUUUUCUCGCGAAAUUGGGUUUAUGACAUUUGGUUGGGACAACUCGUUCCUUUUGGGAACAGGGUUUUGCAUUUGAAGAGUCGCCACCUAAUGAUUUAAGGUGCAUUAGGACACCAAUAGGGUUCAAUUCUAAGUUUGAUUGAAUAACCAGAGAUAGGGUAAGGACUUGAAAUUAUCCUUAUAGGAAAGUGUUAUGCACCCCUCAGGAUCCACUGGUGUGAUUUCCGGCCAGACAGUUUAUUGUAAAUUUGUGUAAUUAACAAGUAAAUAGAUAAGGCUCACAUAAGAGAAGAGAUAAUUAAAAGAAGAGUUUUGAAAAGAAGUUUGCAAAUAAAAGGGAAGGGGUCCUAGGUUUAUAUUUAAUAUGGAUCACAUCAAUACGAUACCCGGUAUGACACUCCUCAAAAUAAGGGAUACACGUGGUAUUAGCGCACCGGUCAUCAUAUCCAUAUCUACCCUUCCCACCCCGUUAAGGUAUUUAAAGCGCGGAUUGGUCUCGAUCACUAUUGCAUGCUAUUACCUGUCCCAUUCCUAUCAGUCCCGGAGGAGCUUAGGACUACUAUUUCCUAAAGGGGAGGGAUAUUAGGCUGAUUUUGGUUUCAAAAGGUAAAAAUCUAAAGCGACAUGCAAAACACAUAAACUGCAUGUUGGGGGAAGCAUAUAAACAGAUAAAGUUCCAUGUACACCUCCUCAAAUGAAAACACAUAAAUAGUAUGAUUUGCACAUACUUUUAGGUCUGAUUAAAAUACUAAAGACGAGGGGAGUUUGAUCAUUGAGGCAGAUUAGUUUAUUACAUAAUUCAGAUAAGAAGUCCCAGUUAGGUCUGCCUGCUGGUUGUAGCAAUUAACAAAAACGGAUUCAAUUUUAUGGUUAUUACUCUAAGGUUUGCCUAAGUGUUAGAUGAGGUCCUAUAGACAUGAUAUCUAAUUGAUUCAGAAUGUGGUGAAACAGUAAUAACUCAAAACAAAUUGUUUGAAAUCCUAUAGGCAUGCUUGCUAAACCUCGUUAAACAAGGGAAUUAGGUUGUUUAAAACCAGUUCAGAAUAGGCUGAUUUAAACUAAAUCCAGAUUAUGUAGGCAAUGGUAUCUAAUGUUGCUGAUUUUAAUCCCUAUAGGCAUGAUAUCUAAUAUUGAAUGAUUUCAACAUCAUGAACAUGAUACUUACUUAUAGCCGUUUAGAACCUAAAGCAUGAUAUCUAAGUGGCAUGCAGAAUUUUAAAUAAGUCCUAUAGGCGGGUUAUCUAGAUGUGAAAUUGAUCAUGAAGAAAUUAAGAUAAACCCUAUAGACAUGGUGUCUAAAAUGCAGAAUUGAACACGCAGAAUAAAAAAUAGUCCUAUAGGCAUGCUUUCUCUCCUUGAGCAUACAUGAUUUCCCAACCCUUUUCACUAGCCAGCCCCAAGUAAUUAUUACAAAUUAUUACAGACCAGAAAUAAUUAAAUACAUCAGAAAAGUUCAAAGAAAAGUUACAACCAGAGGAAACCUGACUCUUGACUUCCUCUCUGAGUUAUGGAAUAAACCACCUCAAAUGCCAUUGAUUCAAAGUCUUUCUCAUACUUGAGUGUGUCAAAGUUCCCUAAGGGUCUCAAUAGGACCAUGGGCAAUACUUGUCACACCUCCUUUUUACCACACGAGGACGGAUAUAAGGGAGUUUUUCUAAUUUAAGUGACAUUAUUCGAUAUGCGAUUAUUUUAUUUAAUUUUUUCAGAGUUGCCACUUGGGAUAUUUAUUAUGGUGUCCCAAGUCACCGGUUUAUUUUAAAUCCCAAAUCGAGAAAAUUUUGACUUUAUUUAAAAGUCCGCGAAACCAGAAAUUCUAAACAAGGAAUUCUGUUAACCCUGGAGAAGGUGUUAGGCAUUCCCGGGGUUCGUGGUUCGAAUACGACCGCAUAAACUAUUAAUAAUUGGGGUAUUAUCUGAUUUCCUACAUGUUUUAAACCUAUUAUGCAUUUUUAGCUUUAUAACCACUUUUUAAUUAUUUUAACUGCUUUUAGGAUUUAUGGAAUUAUUUUUUGAACAAGUUAAGAUUGUCGUACACUUGCCGUUCUACAACACACCGCAAACCACGCUACAUGAAAUGCACCCGUGAUUUGUGACAUGUUUAUUUUAAUUAUUGUUCGAAGUUGUGGUCGGGUCACUUGAAAUGCACACCUGAAUUGAAAUUUAUGUAUCGUGACCAAGCCACGGGAACCGUACCCAUAGUCAUGAUGAUUUAUUAAUCGUGCCUAAAGCUAACUACGAUAUUUGAUUUAUUUUCUAAUCUAAUUUAAGAUUAUUUUAAGGCCAUAGGUUAUGGAAUUUAUUAUGGAAAGAAUAAAUUAAAUUAUUUAUGGAAAGAUAUCCUAGCUUAUAGCCUUAUCGGCAAUUUUGGUCAUGUAUUCAAACUAGAAACUUUAGUAGUACCUCAUUCACCAAUUAAACUCCAAACCCAUAUUUUGGGCAUUAACGAUUACUCCAAAAAAAGGUACUAACAAAGAAAGUGAAAGAAUGAGAAUUAAGCAAAUAACGCCCACAUCUUAACACAAAGGAAUUAUCAGUAGAUUCCAAAGCAUACCAACACCAUGCUUAUUGAUUUAUCUUUAUAAAUAAAAAAAACUAAAAGAAACACCCAACUAGAUUAAAGUAUUCAUCAAAGAAAGACAAAGUAAAGUAAUAAAUUAGUCAUGGAUCAACCUUAAGUAAAGAGGCUAAAAUAAAAUAAUAAUAAUAAAGCAUAAGAUAGAUUGGAUCCCGAAGAGUAGCGACAAGAAACAUACCUUUUUAAAAAGAAACAAAAGUCUGGAAAUAAGACCAGCAACACGUUAACCAUACUAAACGGGAACCUCACCGGAACUUUAGAUGGAUCUCUCACAUGGAAGUUCGUCUAUCUCGAUCUAUCUUCCAUGACAUUACAGGGCUGAAACGGAGCUUCGUCGGAGGAAAAAAAAUGGAGAAAUUGAUGACUGUUCGGGUCUUUUUUUUAAAGCUGGUUUUAAUGGAAUUUCAAAUUGGUUUAAGGUGAUAUAUGUGAAGUGAUAUGGGUUGAAGACUCUUUCGUUUCUUUUUAUUUUCCCACCCCCAAUUUUUGUGCAAAGAAUCCCUUGUAUGUUCUGUGCGUGUAUUUGGAGUUGGUGAAAUUAGACCGUGAAGGUCUUUGAUUUGGGGGAAGUUGGGAGACGGCAGUCUUCGAGAUUAGGAGUGUUG